Molecule: ribosomal RNA, 254 nt
Filed under: uncultured bacterium
Lineage: Bacteria
Description: partial 16S ribosomal RNA
Rfam family: Bacterial small subunit ribosomal RNA
Source: RNAcentral
UACGUAGGGUCCAAGCGUUAUCCGGAAUCACUGGGCGUAAAGCGUGCGCAGGUGGAUUGUUUAGUGCGUUGCGAAAUCCUGUGGCUCAACCAUAUGGACUGUAGCGCAUACUGGCAAUCUUGAGGACAUGAGAGGCAAGUGGAAUUACUGGUGUAGCAGUGAAAUGCGUAGAGAUCAGGAGGAACACCGAUGGCGAAGGCAGUUCUCUGGGCCGUAACUGACGCUGAGGAGCGAAAGCGUGGGGAGCGAACAGG